GACGAACGCUGGCGGCGUGCUUAACACAUGCAAGUCGAACGAAGAGCGAUGGAAGCUUGCUUCUAUCAAUCUUAGUGGCGAACGGGCGAGUAACGCGUAAUCAACCUGCCCUUCAGAGGGGGACAACAGUUGGAAACGACUGCUAAUACCGCAUACGAUCUAAUCUCGGCAUCGAGGAUAGAUGAAAGGUGGCCUCUACAUGUAAGCUAUCACUGAAGGAGGGGAUUGCGUCUGAUUAGCUAGUUGGAGGGGUAACGGCCCACCAAGGCGAUGAUCAGUAGCCGGCCUGAGAGGAUGAACGGCCACAUUGGGACUGAGACACGGCCCAGACUCCUACGGGAGGCAGCAGUGGGGAAUCUUCCGCAAUGGACGAAAGUCUGACGGAGCAACGCCGCGUGAGUGAUGACGGCCUUCGGGUUGUAAAGCUCUGUUAAUCGGGACGAAAGGCCUUCUUGCGAAUAGUGAGAAGGAUUGACGGUACCGGAAUAGAAAGCCACGGCUAACUACGUG
Molecule: ribosomal RNA, 510 nt
Filed under: uncultured bacterium
Lineage: Bacteria
Description: partial 16S ribosomal RNA
Rfam family: Bacterial small subunit ribosomal RNA
Source: RNAcentral